This 45-nucleotide non-coding RNA is filed under the name Schistosoma margrebowiei. Lineage: Eukaryota; Metazoa; Platyhelminthes; Trematoda; Strigeidida; Schistosomatidae. The record is from RNAcentral.
AUUCAGCUGAGGAGUCCCAAAUAGAAGAAAACGUAAGUUCUGGAU